ACAAUAUACAGAGUAUAUAUUUGUGUAUUUUCAUUUUAUUAAUUACUAUGACUUAUUUUAGUUUUUUGCUUACCUUGGAUUUAGUUUACCUUUCUUUUUUGUUUCUUAAGGGGGAAGCCGAGAUUAUUCAAUGUUUCUUCUUCCUAAUAUUGUUGUUUAGUGCUAUAAAUUUUUCUGUAAUAACUGCUUAAGCUGUACUGCUCACAUUUUAAUAUGUUGUCAUUUCAUCUUUGGUUCAAAAUAUUUUUAAAUUUCCACUUCCAUUCCUUUUUUGUUUUGUAAUUAUAGUGCUUGCUUUGGAGCUUAUAGUACACAGUCUAGCUUCAAAGGAUAUUAUGCCACUUCACAUAACUUUGUGAUGUUUUUGUUACACAUUUUACUUUUAGGUAUACUAUAAACCCCAUAGUACUUUGUUAUUAUAUGUCUUUUAAAGAUAUUUAUUUUUUAAUUUAAUUUAAUUGUAUUUUAU
Molecule: long non-coding RNA, 469 nt
Filed under: Homo sapiens (human)
Lineage: Eukaryota; Metazoa; Chordata; Mammalia; Primates; Hominidae
Description: HSALNT0374874
Source: RNAcentral